Homo sapiens (human) is the source of this 4710-nucleotide long non-coding RNA. Lineage: Eukaryota; Metazoa; Chordata; Mammalia; Primates; Hominidae. The record is from Ensembl.
CACUCCUGUGUUGAAGAUGCAUCGACUCACGUACUGCAUUAAUGUUUUAGAUUUUACUGUGAAGCAAACAAUUCACUCCUCAGACCCUCAGUCACCCAAGUCCACAUCUGGACUUGAGGUUUGGCUUCUCUGGUCCUAACUGGGACUUAUCUGACCCUGACAGGAGAUAACUUCAGUAGGGACUUUCCCUAAUAGCAAACAUGCACACUUCAACUUGGCUUGCCCUGAAGGUAACAUUUACUCAUUAUAAUGGUAAAAAAAAAACACACCCCUGGGUGGAGAUUUCAGACAUUACUAAGACGUGUGAUAUAUGUACUAGCGUGUAUGACCAUACAGCAUGUGCACCCAGGAGACCACCCAAAACAUGUUUGCUAGUAACACCCCUUCACAACCCCUUUCAUGAAUAAUCAUAUAAGACCCUCAUAAGGGAGCUUCCCCAGUGCCGAUCAACGCUGUUUCUUUUUCCAAGCAGCCCGCUCUGACUUGGCUUUUAGAGGGUACUCUCUCUUUAAAUAAACUCUGCAGCUGCUUCACUGUCACUGAUUACUUCUUGGCUGAAUUCUUUCCUUCAAGAAGACAAGAACUGAAGACCCCACACCUUCCGGUAACAUUACCAACUCUUUCUCCUUUUUCUCUGGAGCUGGUGCUCAGAUGGUGAGAGCCCUGAGCUAAUAGUCCCAGGGUGGGAGCCUGUUUGCCCCUGUCUGGUCCUCAGCAAUGUCCUUGGUCAGCUUCCUGGCAAGAGCUGUCGAUUACCAGAGGGAACAAGUGAUCAGCACCAGAGUCGAUCACUUCACAGAGGAGCUGAAGUGGACAGGGUCAGCUCAGGCCUCACGGACUAGGGCGGGAAUGUCCCGUGACGGCAGGUCAGUGUCUUAGCUUCCUUUGAGGCACCUCUUCAUAGACUGCAGGGAUCAUUUAGGUAAGAAUAUAGCCUGCUGACUUUUACACCUUGCUGAAAAUCUUUGCUAAUAGCAAUCUGUUAGCUGUGAAAAUUACCAUUGUUUUUUAUUUUUCGUUUUGUUCCUUAUUACUGAAGAUAUUCUAUGGAGCGUUAAAGCCUCCUGCGGUAAGAAACUAGUAAAGAAACAUACUGUUUGCAGGAAGGAAAAUUACCCACAAUUCUUGUUCUCUAAGGUGCGUGGUUAUCAUUCCAACAGCCAUUCUCAGCAAUGAACUGAAGACCCUCAGAUGUGUUUCAUUCCCUUAGUAUUUUAAUCCUCUCCUCCACUCUCAAUUGCCACUUCUCCCGUGAAUGAGGGGAGAGGGGUUGGGAGGGACAUCUCCUGUCUUGGGCCCACAGAUUUUAAAGUUCAAGUCAGAAGCUCCAGUGAUUUCCUGUAUGUAGUAGUCAGGGGCAAGACAGAUCUGUGGUUGGUAGUCUUUCCUUCUCUGUACAUCUGCCAGCCUCUCUCCUCAAGCUGGGGCUUCAUGGAGUCCCAGAACUUUGAACCUGAAGUAGUGUCAGCAGCCAUGUUGCAGCUGGAGUCAGGCCAAUUGUUGGUCUUGCUCCCUCGUGACUGGGACACUUGGAAGAGCCAAAUGGGCAGGCUUGGAGAGCGUGUACUUUUGGAACUGAAGUGUAUCUUAAACCAUUUCAUUGCAACUACGUGUGUGUGUUGGGAGGAUGCAUAACAGCCUCACUGAGGGGUGACUGACAUAUAAUAGAAGGACUUGUGCACCCGUGAAACCAUCACUGUUAUCAAGACAGCGAGCAUGUCCAUCCCCCAUAGGUUUUCUUGUGCUCCUUUGUGAUCCCUUCCUCCUGCCUCUCCUGCCAUGCUCCACCCCAAGCAACCACUGAUCUGCUUUCUGUCACAAUAUAUAGAUUGGAAAACUACUUAUAAUACCAGUUCUAACCUCAUCAAGCAAAUACUUUCUUUUUGUCAGUUGAACUUUUCAUUGUGUGUUCAACAUUCUUGAUUCAGAAAGAGUGAGAGAGAAAGGCUGGUGUGGGCCCUUCCUGGGAGGCCUGGCCCUAUCCACAGCUCCAGUGUGGCUCACGUGCCCUGGAGCCCCUGCCCACAGGACAGUCCUGACUGCUCAUCCACAAGCUUUGUGGUAUCCUCUACCAUUCCUAGGCAGGCUCUGUACAGUGCAGAACUUUCUCCCAGUCCUUGCACCAAAAUAACAAAUGUCAGAGAUAGUACAUUUGGAGCCAGUGGCUGUGCCUCACCUCUAGAUGCCUGUAAUACUGAGCUGCUAAGCAAGAGGUCCCUCCCUUCUUGCCCUUUUCUUGGGGCCUCAUCCCUUGUGCUCUGCUCUUCCUCACACAGGAUAUAUCUUCUGAUUGCUCCUCUCCCACCUCCUGCAGUCCCUGGACCCCCAUGGCAAUACAAACAGACUCUUCUAUAUCCUCAGUCCAUUGCAGGACCACAGCUCUGACCUGGCUGUCCUCUGUUUUCCAAGCCCUGCACCUGUGGAGUUGGGAAUUAGCACCCACUUGACCCCAUUGUGGCAUCAGGCCCACCCUCCCCAAUGCAGGAAGAGUUCCAGAUGUUGGGGAGCUAUGGCAUUAUCCUGCACACAUAUCAUGUCCUGGCCUGGGAAAGUGAUGAUGAUGAUAUUUUCCCACAAAAUAGACAAUAACAUCAUGAAAGUGCCUUGUUCAUUUUCUAGCAUAAAAUAUAUAUCAAAGCAGUGGGGUUUAGUAGGCAUACGUAGAUUUAAAAGCUCCUCAGAAGGCAGGGAAUGAUUUCUUCAACAGAAAAAAAAACUACCCCAAAAGGAGAAUCUCAAUACUUUGGUUGAUAGUAAAUUAAGAAUCCCUCAAGAAAUUCAGUAGGAGAGGGAAAAGAUAAGUCACCAAUGGGAAAUAUAUUUGUCACAAUAUAACAGGCAAAGGACUCAUGUCCAGAGUGCAUGAAGGAUUUCUACAAAUAAAAUAAAGAAUCCAACAGAAAAAUGAAGAAGAGAAAGGAAUAGGAACUUCAUUUUUAAAAAAGAGAAAAGAAAAAGGAAGUAAGGAAAAACAAAUGAACAUCCAAAUGGCCAGAAAGCAUAUAAAAAUGCCCAACCUCAUAAACCAUCAGACAAAUGUGAUCCACAAUGAGAAGCCAAUACACACCGACCAGCACGGCUAAAAUUAAGAAGACUGUUAAUACCAAGUGUUGGUGAGAAUGUGAAGUAACUGAAACAUUUAUACACUGCUGGUGGAAAUGUGAAAUAGCACAACUACUUUGGAAAAUUAUUUGGGAAUACUGCUAAAGGUGAGCACCCCUAUGAUCCUGAAAUCCCACUCCAAUAUGAAAACCCAAAAGAAAUGCAUCCUGAUAGAGGCACUCUUCAUAGUAGCCCAAUGUUAAUCAUGGAAGAAUGGACAAGUAUAUAUCAUAUCAUGGAAUUUUUAUGGUAAUGAAAAUAGAUUAAUAACUGCCAUGCACAGUUGGUGAAUCCCACCAACAUAAUGUUGAGUGAAAGAAACCUGAUACAAAUGAAUGUAUACUACACUAUUUCAUUUCUGUGAAGCUCCAAAAUAAGCAAAACGAACCUAUAGUGUUAUAAGUCAGUAGAGUGAUUAUCUUAGUAUUUGCAUGGGAGCUCUGGUAAUGUUUUAUUUCUUGAUCUAAGGGCUGGUGUCCCAGAUGUGUUCACUUUGUGAUAAUUCAUCAAUCUGUUUUCUUGGGAGCUGUGGCUUAUCUGUGCAGAUAUACUCCAAUUAAAAAAAUCAUUCAACUCAAUGACAACAACAACAAAAAAAACUCGAUUUUUUAACAUUUUGUGGAGUGUUUAUUAUGAUCCAGUCAGCGUACUAAAUACACUAUUUUAUUUGAUCCUUAAAAUAACUUAAACAACUUGAUUUAAAUAUGGGCAAAGGACUUGAGAAGACAUUUCUCCAAAGAAGAUAUACAAAAAGCACAUGGAAAACCCUUGACAUAAUUAGUAAUCUGGGAAUGCAAAUGUAAACCACGGUGGGAUACCACUUCACACAUGUUAGAAUGACUAUUAUCCAAAAAUAAAACAAACAGAAAAUAACAAGCAUUGGCAAGGAUGUGGAGAAAUUGAAACCCCCAUGCAUUGUUGGUGGGAAUGUAAAAUGGUGCAGCCGCUGUGGAAAACAGUUUGAUGGCUCCUCAGAAAACCAUACACAGAAUUAACAUAUGAUCCAGCAUUGCCACUUUCAGGUAUAUACCCAAAACAAUAGCAUGAAACACAUAAAGAGACAUGUUCAUAGCAGUAUUAUUCAGAAUAACUAAAAGGUGGAAGCCAUGUUAAGUGUUCAUUGACAGAUGAAUGGAUAAGCAAAAUGUGGUAUAUCCAUACAAUGAAAUAUUAUUCAGCUUUUAAAAGGAAGGAAAUUUGAUACAUGCAACAACAUGGAUGAAUCUUCAGGACAUUGCGUUCAGUGAAAUAAACCAGUCACAAAAAGACAAAUACUACAAGAUUGCAAUUACAUGGAUACCUAGAACAGUCAAAUUCAUACAGACAGAAAGUAGAAUGGUGGUUGCCAUGUCCCAAAGCCAACAUAAAGCAGCAGUUGUGGACAGCUUCAGUUUCAGCUGAACUUGACUGUAUGUUGUGCUGAAACCAGGGUAAUCUGAUGUCCAACACUCAGAGCCAGUUAAGACUUUUGUUUCUGGUGACCUGGGGAGCUGACAGUGCUUUUCAGGCACACCUGGGGUAACUCUUAUUUCCCAAAUGGGUUGGCAGAUUGUUGUGGGUGCCAGGUCUUUGAUGGACUGGAUCUAGACACGAAUAAAUAGCCUGCUG